UACGAAGGGGGCUAGCGUUGCUCGGAAUCACUGGGCGUAAAGGGUGCGUAGGCGGGUCUUUAAGUCAGGGGUGAAAUCCUGGAGCUCAACUCCAGAACUGCCUUUGAUACUGAAGAUCUUGAGUUCGGGAGAGGUGAGUGGAACUGCGAGUGUAGAGGUGAAAUUCGUAGAUAUUCGCAAGAACACCGGUGGCGAAGGCGGCAUCCUGGACCGAUACUGACGCUGAGGAGCGAAAGCCAGGGGAGCAAACGGG
RNAcentral lists this ribosomal RNA (253 nucleotides) under uncultured bacterium. RNAcentral's name for it is "partial 16S ribosomal RNA". It matches the Rfam family "Bacterial small subunit ribosomal RNA", at positions 524 to 776 of the family's 1533-position model. The record is from RNAcentral.